This 750-nucleotide ribosomal RNA is filed under the name Bacillus sp. G550I. Its description in RNAcentral is "bacterial SSU rRNA". It matches the Rfam family "Bacterial small subunit ribosomal RNA", at positions 137 to 873 of the family's 1533-position model. The record is from RNAcentral. Lineage: Bacteria; Bacillati; Bacillota; Bacilli; Caryophanales; Bacillaceae.
ACUGGGAUAACUCCGGGAAACCGGGGCUAAUACCGGAUAAUUCAUUCCCUCUCAUGAGGGAAUGCUGAAAGACGGUUUCGGCUGUCACUUACAGAUGGGCCCGCGGCGCAUUAGCUAGUUGGUGAGGUAACGGCUCACCAAGGCAACGAUGCGUAGCCGACCUGAGAGGGUGAUCGGCCACACUGGGACUGAGACACGGCCCAGACCUCUACGGGAGGCAGCAGUAGGGAAUCUUCCGCAAUGGACGAAAGUCUGACGGAGCAACGCCGCGUGAGCGAUGAAGGCUUCGGGUCGUAAAGCUCUGUUGUUAGGGAAGAACAAGUACCGGAGUAACUGCCGGUACCUUGACGGUACCUAACCAGAAAGCCACGGCUAACUACGUGCCAGCAGCCGCGGUAAUACGUAGGUGGCAAGCGUUGUCCGGAAUUAUUGGGCGUAAAGCGCGCGCAGGUGGUUUCUUAAGUCUGAUGUGAAAGCCCACGGCUCAACCGUGGAGGGUCAUUGGAAACUGGGGAACUUGAGUGCAGAAGAGGAAAGUGGAAUUCCACGUGUAGCGGUGAAAUGCGUAGAGAUGUGGAGGAACACCAGUGGCGAAGGCGACUUUCUGGUCUGUAACUGACACUGAGGCGCGAAAGCGUGGGGAGCGAACAGGAUUAGAUACCCUGGUAGUCCACGCCGUAAACGAUGAGUGCUAAGUGUUAGAGGGUUUCCGCCCUUUAGUGCUGCAGCAAACGCAUUAAGCACUCCGCC